This is a long non-coding RNA of Andrographis paniculata, 637 nucleotides long. RefSeq lists it as uncharacterized. Lineage: Eukaryota; Viridiplantae; Streptophyta; Magnoliopsida; Lamiales; Acanthaceae. The transcript is spliced from 2 exons. The record is from RefSeq and is a predicted model, not a curated record.
GCAGAUUCUCCCUGUUCUUGGAAUGAAUGUCAAAAUCUCCUGUCCUUUGGUUUAGGGAUUUUAACUCUUUUUGGCUGCUAGUAUCAUUUACACUUUACAGCUUCCACCUAUUUUUAAAGGGCUGCCCACUUUCAGGGGGGGACAACACAACAAAGACAAGGAUAUGCCAGUACUGCUAAGGAGCCACUGAAAAGAGGCUUUCCAUGGCGUCCAAGGAUGAUUGCCUGCUGGUACAUCUGAGAUGCAUGAAACCAAUGGGGAAAAUCCUUUCACUCCAACAUGUAUGCAUAGGUUCAGUUUCUCUCAACUUUGCCAUGUAGCCAAAACAUAUACAACAAGGAAGGAUCAUCUACCAAAUGCCAGUAUGGGUAAAAUUAAACAGAAUCAUAUAAUUUCAGUUAAUUGGACACUUGUGAAUGAGACAUGAAUACAGAAUAACUGCAAAAUAUUUUAGAGGAAUAAUAAGAAAUUCUGCAAGUGAUGAUGCUACAAAACAGAAACUCAACCACAUGGUGCUUUGGUCCUAGAUGCUAGAUGGUCUUCUCCAUUACAGCUUUUGUUUUAAGGUCACUUCCAUGAUGCCUAUGGGCGACUUUGGCCGGUAAUGGUCAUCUGUGUCUACUUCUUCAAUUUCCUG